AUAGCCUAACGGCUGAACCAGCAACUUGGAGGAAUGUAUAGCUAAAGCUAAAUGUAUUAUGUAAUAAUACAGAUUCGAUUUAUUCGUAUAAAGUUCUAGAUAGAAUUAUGAUAAUGACAUUGUCUAUCUAUAUGUCUUGACCAAAUUACGUGCCAGCAGUCGCGGUAAGACGUAGGAGACUAGUGUUAUUCAUAUUUAAUAGGUUUAAAGCGUACCUAGACGGUAAAUCAAGCCUUAACCGGGACUAAUUUAACUAGAGUUAGAUGUAAGGGUGCAUAAACGUACUGUUGAGUGUAGAGAUGAAAUUCUGUUAUACCAGAUUAUUGGCACGGGUUUAGGCGAAAGCAUCGCCUUAUGUAAUAACUGACGUUGAGGGACGAAGGCUUUGUGUCGCGAACAGGAUUAGGUACCCCAGUAGUCUAAGCAGAAAAUGAUGAGUGUCAUAGGUUAAAUAUUAUUUGGUCUAUAAAUGAAAGUGUAAGCAUUCCACCUCAAGAGUAAUUUGGCAACAUUGGAAUUGAAAUCAUUAGACCGUUUCUGAAACCAGUAGUGAAGUAUGUUGUUUAAUUAGAUAUUACACAAAGAACCUUACCACAACUUGUAUAUUUUACAAGCGUUGCACGGCUGUCUUCAGUUAAUGUCGUGAGAUUUUGGUUAGUUCCAUUAAAUUAACGUAAACCCUUACUUUAUUUUAUUUUUAUAUAAAGUUGUUCGCCGCUAGAUUGGUUAGAUAAAAGGGACUAAGACAAGUCAUCAUGACCUGAAUGUUGU
This 771-nucleotide ribosomal RNA is filed under the name Rostania callibotrys. RNAcentral describes it as "mitochondrial SSU rRNA". It matches the Rfam family "Bacterial small subunit ribosomal RNA", at positions 371 to 1210 of the family's 1533-position model. The record is from RNAcentral. Lineage: Eukaryota; Fungi; Ascomycota; Lecanoromycetes; Peltigerales; Collemataceae.